Long non-coding RNA from Mesoplodon densirostris (Blainville's beaked whale), 2083 nucleotides. RefSeq lists it as uncharacterized. The transcript is spliced from 2 exons. NCBI's taxonomy places the organism in Eukaryota, Metazoa, Chordata, Mammalia, Artiodactyla, Ziphiidae. The record is from RefSeq and is a predicted model, not a curated record.
CGCAAAGCAGAUGUGGAUGCUGAUCUUGUGGGGUUUUGUUUCGUAGGAAAGCACCGCAUUAUCCGGGCAGUUAUGAACAGCUGCGUGAAGGGAUGGGACAAAGUGCUGCAGAAGGGCUGCUCUGAGGCUGGGGUCCUGCAAGGCUUCUCUGGGGGGUGGUGCUCAGGGGCCAGGAUGAACAGGAGGAACCCACAUGACAAGUCAAGAGAAAUUUCCAGAAGACACUGAGGGGCCUCUCGCUGCUGUGGCCUCUCCUGUUGCAGAGCACAAGCUCCGGACGCGCAGGCUCAGUGGCCAUGGCUCACGGGCCCAGCCGCUCUGCAGCACGUGGGAUCCUCCCGGAUGGGGGCACGAACCCGCGUCCCCUGCAUUGGCAGGCGGACUUUCAACCACUGCGCCACCAGGGAAGCCCAUGGAUAAAGAUUUUGAGAUGAAAUUUUCUUUUCAGUAAAGAAAAUGGAGGGGGACUUCCCUGGUGGUGCAGUGGUUAAGACUCCACGCUCCCAGUGCAGGGGGCCUGGGUACGCUCCCUGGUCAGGGAACUAGAUCUUACACGCAUGCUGCAACUAAGAGUUCGCAUGCUGCAACUAAGGAGCCCGCAAGCCACAACUAAGGAGCUGCCAAGCCACAACUAAGGAGCUCGUGAGCUGCAACUAAGGAGCUGGUGAGUCGUAACUGAGGAGCGCGCUUGCCGCAACUAAGACCUGGCGCAACCAAAUAAGUAAAUUAAUUAAUUAAAAAAAAGAAUGAUUAAAAAAAAGAAAAUGGAGGCACCUGAGGGCCAAGUGGGGAGAUGUCCCCAGGGAAGGAAGAAGAAAAUUCGGGACACAAACUACAAAUGAUGCCUCCAUAGGGCAUCAGCCCUGACUCUUUAUCCUGCUGCUGUUACCGGGGAAGAUGCCCGCAGCUGACAUGCAUGUGCUUACCAUGUGCUGGUCACCUCAAGCACGACCCCACUGAAUCCUCACGAUGAACACGGAAGGCAGUGCCACUGCCACACCUUCCACCAGGAAACCGAGCGCAGAGAGGGGAAGUAACUGGCGCAAGGACCCGUGCGUGCUCCACGCGGGACAGAGCCUGCCUCUCCCCCGACACCGUCUGCACAGGUGGCCUCUUGUGUCUGUCCGUCACGCAUCUGUGAACGAGUGGGCUGGGCUCUGCUCCUCGGGACUUGAAAAACUGGGGUUAGGGAGUGAGUGUGUGUGUGCGUGCAGGGUGGGGGGACAGGUGACUGCACACAAACAGCCCUCAUCAAGGCAGCUCUGAAAAUGGCAGGUGGCAGAGACCCCAUCUGGCCCCCAACUUUGAUUCUCUGCCAGCUAUCAUGGCUAAGCUGUGGCCAGCGGGACGGGAAUGGAAAUGAUACACCUGCCUUCGUUUUUAAUUUUUAAAAAAAUUUUUAAAAAAAUUUAAAGGUUUUUAAAAACAUUUAUUUAUUUUUAUUUAUUUAUUUUUGGCUGCGUUGGGUCUUUGUUGCUGCACGCAGGCUUUCUCUAGUUGCGGUGAGCGGGGGCCACUCUUCGUUGCGGUGCGCGGGCUUCUCAUUGCGGUGGCUUCUCUUGUUGCAGAGCACGGGCUCUAGGCGCACGGGCUUAGUUGCUCCGCGGCAUUUGGGAUCUUCCCGGACCAGGGCUCGAACCCGUGUCCCUUGCAUUGGUGGGUGGAUUCUUAAGCACUGCACCACCAGGAAAGUCCCUACACCUGCCUUCCUAAAACGGGGGUGCAACUCCCUUUACAGGCUGGUGAGCAGUCUUAGGGCCUGGACCACUGACACCAGGGGUCGGUCUAUCCUCAACUGUCCUAACCUACCCUAGGUUGGCUUUGCCCAGGCUUUUACCUGGGAGAGAAAUACACUUGUGCUUAUGCCUCUGUUAUUUUGGGUAUUUGCUAUGGGAGAAUUUAUAUUGUAACUAAUGAAGGCAACAAAGGAGGUGUGAAGAGAGUGGAUGGAAACUCUGAGAAGGAAAAGUUAUGUGUGUAAAUGUUUUAUUGAUCUUCCCUCCCCACAUGCAUGUGUAUAAGGUCAGGAAGGUGUUUUUGAGAAAAUAUGGGAUCCACACUAAUGGAGGUCCAUUCUUCUUUG